GGCAGGAAGGCCCUAGAGGCCCAGAGGGAACCAGCCUGAUGAGGCCGUGAUUUCAGACUGUCGGCCCAGGAAGGGGCCCAAGCCGUGGCCCACCCCACCAUCCAGUCUUCUUGGACCCACCUUGGUCCCUCUGCCCGAUGGUGAUGUCCUAAGCAGCCAGUCUGGCCUCUACUCUGCCUUCAUGGGUGCUUCAUGUAGGUCUUCCUGGCACCUCCCGGGAUGUGACUCUUCUCACCAUGGCCAUCAUGUCCCUCCUGGUCUCCUCCUAUGCCUUCUGUGAGCCCACCUGUGCUAUGCUGCUGGCCUUCCUGUGGGGCUGUGUGCAGUGAGCCCUGGGGCUCCUGCUCUCAGCCGGGGUUCCUGCUGGACGUCAUCUCCUGCCCCGUCAAUCAUUAAAGUUUUCACCUCCACUGCUACCGUCACCAUCGGCUUCGGGCAGAUCAGGGUGGUCUUGCUGUUGGCACCAGGGCACCUGCUGGCAUCAAGAAUGCUCCUUGAUACAAUCCACCAGCACCUUAGGUUCCUUGGCCCUGGUGAGCGGUGUGUGCCCAGGGGUGUGUAUUGUGGUCGGUGAUGGUCAUGUGAACUGAAGGGGGACAAAGAUUGGUACCAAGAACAGGUGCACAGCUUUUUAACAAAUCCAAAAUGUCUGUGUCUUUGUAUUUGCUCACUCGUGGAAGGCACA
RNAcentral lists this long non-coding RNA (685 nucleotides) under Equus asinus (donkey). RNAcentral describes it as "lncRNA (ENSEASG00005027695.1)". The record is from RNAcentral. Lineage: Eukaryota; Metazoa; Chordata; Mammalia; Perissodactyla; Equidae.